UGGCUCAGGAUGAACGCUAGCGACAGGCUAACACAUGCAAGUCGAGGGGCAGCACGGGAGUAGCAAUACAACUGGUGGCGACCGGCGCACGGGUGAGUAACGCGUAUGCAACCUACCUAUCAGGAGGGGAAUAACCCGGCGAAAGUCGGACUAAUACCGCAUAAAACAGGGGCACCGCAUGGUGAUAUUUGUUAACGAGAUUCGCUGAUAGAUGGGCAUGCGUUCCAUUAGGUAGUUGGUGAGGUAACGGCUCACCAAGCCGACGAUGGAUAGGGGAACUGAGAGGUUGGUCCCCCACACUGGUACUGAGACACGGACCAGACUCCUACGGGAGGCAGCAGUGAGGAAUAUUGGUCAAUGGGGCGGGAGCCUGAACCAGCCAAGUCGCGUGAAGGAAGAAGGAUCUAUGGUUCGUAAACUUCUUUUGCAGGGGAAUAAAGUGCAGGACGUGUCCUGUUUUGUAUGUACCCUGAGAAUAAGGAUCGGCUAACUCCGUGCCAGCAGCCGC
This 508-nucleotide ribosomal RNA is filed under the name uncultured bacterium. RNAcentral describes it as "bacterial SSU rRNA". It matches the Rfam family "Bacterial small subunit ribosomal RNA", at positions 20 to 518 of the family's 1533-position model. The record is from RNAcentral.